This 497-nucleotide ribosomal RNA is filed under the name uncultured bacterium. RNAcentral describes it as "partial 16S ribosomal RNA". It matches the Rfam family "Bacterial small subunit ribosomal RNA", at positions 28 to 506 of the family's 1533-position model. The record is from RNAcentral.
GACGAACGCUGGCGGCGUGCCUAAUACAUGCAAGUCGAGCGGACGGAUGGGAGCUUGCUCCCAGACCGUCAGCGGCGGACGGGUGAGUAACACGUGGGCAACCUGCCUGUAAGACUGGGAUAACUCCGGGAAACCGGGGCUAAUACCGGAUAACUCUUUCCCUCACAUGAGGGAAAGCUGAAAGAUGGCAUCUCGCUAUCACUGACAGAUGGGCCCGCGGCGCAUUAGCUAGUUGGUGAGGUAACGGCUCACCAAGGCGACGAUGCGUAGCCGACCUGAGAGGGUGCUCGGCCACACUGGGACUGAGACACGGCCCAGACUCCUACGGGAGGCAGCAGUAGGGAAUCUUCCGAAAUGGACGAAAGUCUGACGGAGCAACGCCGCGUGAGUGAUGAAGGUUUGCGGAUCGUAAAACGCUGUUGUCAGGGAAGAACAAGUACCGGAGUAACUGCCGGUACCUGGACGGUACCUGACCAGAAAGCCACGGCUAACUACGU